This 2849-nucleotide long non-coding RNA is filed under the name Nicotiana tabacum (common tobacco). RNAcentral's name for it is "long non-coding RNA (NTAB_LNC012955)". The record is from RNAcentral. Lineage: Eukaryota; Viridiplantae; Streptophyta; Magnoliopsida; Solanales; Solanaceae.
GUUUAGGGCUUAAAACCCUAACGUUGGCUGAAUGGAAAAAAGUUCAGUAUAGGGUUUAAAACCCUAAUGCUGACUAAAAGGAAAAUUCAGUUUAGGGUUUAAAACCCUAAUGCUGAUUACAUGAAAAAGCUCAGUUUAGGGUUUAAAACCCUAAUGCUGGCUGAAAGGAAAAAAGUUCAGUUUAGGGUUUAAAACCCUAAAGCCGGCUAAAGGAAAAAUUCAGUUUAGGGUUUAAAAACCCUAAUGCUGAUUGCAUGGAAAAGCUCAGUUUGGGGUUUAAAACCCUAAUGCUGGCUGAAUGGGAAAAAGUUCAGUUUAGGGUUUAAAACCCUAAUGCUGACUAAAGGAAAAAUUCAGUUUAGGGUUUAAAACCCUAAUGCUGAUCGCAUGGAAAAUCUCAAUUUAGGGUUUAAAACCCUAAUGCUGGCUGAAUGUAAAAAAGUUCAGUUUAGGGUUUAAAACCCCAAUGCUGACUAAAGAAAAAAUUCAGUUUAGGGUUUAAAACCCUAAUGUUGAUCGCAUGGAAAAGCUCAGUUUAGGGUUUAAAACCCUAAUGCUGACUGGAAAGAAAAGCUCAGUUUGGGGUUUAAAACUCUAAUGCUGGCUAAAGGAAAAAUUCAGUUUAGGGUUUAAAACCCUAAUGCUGAUCGCAUGGAAAAGCUCAGUUUAGGGUUUAAAACCCUAAUGCUGGCUGAAUGGAAAAAAGUUCAGUUUAGGGUUUAAAACCCCAAUGCUGACUAAAGAAAAAAUUCAGUUUAGGGUUUAAAACCCUAAUGUUGAUCGCAUGGAAAAGCUCAGUUUAGGGUUUAAAACCCUAAUGCUGGCUGAAUGGAAAAAAGUUCAGUUUAGGGUUUAAAACCCUAAUGCUGACUGGAAGGAAAAGCUCAGUUUGGGGUUUAAAACCCUAAUGCUGGCUGAAUGGGAAAAAGUUCAGUUUAGGGUUUAAAACCCUAAUGCUGACUAAAGGAAAAAUUCAGUUUAGGGUUUAAAACCCUAAUGCUGAUCGCAUGGAAAAGCUCAGUUUAGGGUUUAAAACCCUAAUGCUGGCUGAAUGGAAAAAAGUUCAGUUUAGGGUUUAAAACCCUAAUGCUGAUUACAUGGAAAAUUCAGUUUAGGGCUUAAAACCCUAGUGCUGAUUACAUGGAAAAGCUCAGUUUAGGGUUUAAAACCCUAAUGCUGGCUGAUUGGAAAAAAGUUCAGUUAGGGUUUAAAACCCUAAUGCUGACUAAAGGAAAAAUUCAGUUUAGGGUUUAAAACCCUAAUGCUGAUUACAUGGAAAAGCUCAGUUUAGGGUUUAAAACCCUAAUGCUGGCUGAAAGGAAAAAAGUUCAGUUUAGGGUUUAAAACCCUAAAGCCGGCUAAAGGAAAAAUUCAGUUUAGGGGUUUAAAACCCUAAUGUUGAUUGCAUGGAAAAAAUUCAGUUUGGGGUUUAAAACCCUAAUGCUGGCUGAAUGGAAAAAUUCAGUUUAGGGUUUAAAACUCUAAUGCUGACUGAAAGGAAAAUUCAGUUUAGGGUUUAAAACCCUAAUGCCGACUGGAAGGAAAAGCUCAGUUUAGGGUUUAAAACCCUAAUGCUGGCUGAAUGGAAAAAGUUCAGUUUAGGGUUUAAAACCCUAAUGCUGACUAAAGGAAAAAUUCAGUUUAGGGUUUAAAACCCUAAUGCUGACUAAAGGGAAAAUUCAGUUUAGGGUUUAAAACCCUAAUGCUGAUUACAUGGAAAAGCUCAGUUUAGGGUUUAAAACCCUAAUGCUGGCUGAAAUGAAAAAAGUUCAGUUUAGGGCUUAAAACCCUAAUGCUGAUUACAUGGAAAAGCUCAGUUUAGGGUUUAAAACCCUAUUGCUGGCUGAAAUGAAAAAAGUUCAGUUUAGGGUUUAAAACCCUAAUGCCGGCUAAAGGAAAAAUUCAGUUUAGGGUUUAAAACCCUAAUGCUGAUUGCAUGGAAAAGCUCAGUUUGGGGUUUAAAACCCUAAUGCUGGCUGAAUGGAAAAAAGUUCAGUUUAGGGUUUAAAACCCUAAUGCUGACUAAAGGAAAAAUUCAGUUUAGGAUUUAAAACCCUAAUGUUGAUCGCAUGGAAAAGCUCAGUUUAGGGGUUAAAACCCUAAUGCUGGCUGAAUGGAAAAAAGUUCAGUUUGGGGUUUAAAACCCUAAUGCUAACUGGAAGGAAAAGCUCAGUUUGGGGUUUAAAACCCUAAUGCUGGCUGAAUGGGAAAAAGUUCAGUUUAGGGUUUAAAACUCUAAUGCUGACUAAAGGAAAAAUUCAGUUUAGGGUUUAAAACCCUAAUGCUGAUCGCAUGAAAAAGCUCAGUUUAGGGUUUAAAACCCUAAUGCUGGCUGAAUGGAAAAAAGUUCAGUUUAGGGUUUAAAACCCUAAUGCUGACUAAAGGAAAAAUUCAGUUUAGGGUUUAAAACCCUAAUGCUGAUCGCAUGGAAAAGCUCAAUUUAGGGUUUAAAACCCUAAUGCUGGCUGAAUGGAAAAAAGUUCAGUUUAGGGUUUAAAACCCUAAUGCUGACUGGAAGGAAAAGCUCAGUUUGGGGUUUAAAACCCUAAUGCUGGCUAAAGGAAAAAUUCAGUUUAGGGUUUAAAACCCUAAUGCUGAUCGCAUGGAAAAGCUCAGUUUAGGGUUUAAAACCCUAAUGCUGGCUGAAUGGAAAAAAGUUUAGUUUAGGGUUUAAAACCCUAAUGCUGAAUGGAAGGAAAAGCUCAGUUUGGAGUUUUAAACCCUAAUGCUGGCUGUAUGGGAAAAAGUUCAGUUUAGGGUUUAAAACCCAAAUGCUGAUUGCACGGAAAAGCUCAGUUUGGGGUUUAAAACCCUAAUGCUGGCUGAAUGGAAAAAUGUUCAGUUUAGGG